GGAUGUUUAGCUCAGUUGGGAGAGCAUCGCCUUUACACGGCGGAGGUCGGGGGUUCAAGCCCCUCAACAUCCACCA
This 76-nucleotide transfer RNA is filed under the name Bacilli bacterium. Its description in RNAcentral is "tRNA-Val". It matches the Rfam family "tRNA". Rfam says of the family: Transfer RNA (tRNA) molecules are approximately 80 nucleotides in length. Their secondary structure includes four short double-helical elements and three loops (D, anti-codon, and T loops). RNAcentral also lists the same sequence under 4 other names. Lineage: Bacteria; Bacillati; Bacillota; Bacilli. The record is from RNAcentral.